This 780-nucleotide ribosomal RNA is filed under the name Rhabdoblatta omei. Its description in RNAcentral is "12S ribosomal RNA". Lineage: Eukaryota; Metazoa; Arthropoda; Insecta; Blattodea; Blaberidae. The record is from RNAcentral.
GACGAGUUUUAUUCUUGCUUAAUUAUUUAUUAUGAAGAGGUGUUAUAUGCAAUUUAUUAAUUUUAUUUAUUCUAAAUGAUUUAAAUAGAAUAUUAUGCAGUAAUUAAUUUUAGUAAUUGAGGAAAUUCUGAGUUAGUCAUUUUCAUUAAGUAUUGAUAAAAUAUGUGCCAGCAGUCGCGGUUAUACAUAAAAUAUUAGUGAAUAUAAUUAGUUUAUUAGUUAUUAUAAAUAAUUUAAUUUAUUUUGGAUAUUUUUGGGUGAAAUUUAAUUUUUCUUUUUUGGUUAAUUAUAAUAUAUAAGAGGCUAUGAAAUCUAAUGUUUAAACUAGGAUUAGAUACCCUAUUAUUUUAGAUUUAAAUUUAUAUAAGACUUGAGUAGUAUUAGUUAUGGUCUUGAAACUUAAAGAAUUUGGCGGUAUUUUAGUCUAUUUAGAGGAAUCUGUCCCAUAAUCGAUAAUCCGCGAUGGACCUUACUUAUUUUUUAUGCUUGUAUACCGCCGUUUAGUUGAAAAUCUUAUUAGGGUAAAUUUUCUUAAUAUUUAAUUUUAUAAUAUCUCAGGUCAAGGUGCAGUUUAUAAUUAAGUGGAGAUGGAUUACAAUAUAAUUAUAGACGAAUUAUUAAUUGUAAAAUUUGUAUGAAGGUGGAUUUAAUAGUAAUGUUAAUUAUAUUUAUUAAUUUGAUAUUAGCUCUAAAAUGUGCACACAUCGCCCGUCACUCUCGCUAUUAAGGUGAGAUAAGUCGUAACAAAGUAGGUGUACCGGAAGGUGUAACUAGAUUGAU